UUCCCUAUUUCAAAUUCAAUCAUUGAUUUCCCUAUUUUAACUGUAAAAUGUUUAUUUCUUUAGUUAUUAGAAAGUGGGUGAUGUUUAUUUCAUGCCUUAUUUACCGUGGUCUAUCCAUCUCUUUCUUUUGAGCUCGAGAAGUGAAAGGAACUAAAGAAGAUGAUGGUAAUCCUUGGGUCGAUCUGCUGUUUUGCUUUUGUAUUUGAGAACGGCUGAUAGAAUCUUAGGUACUUCAGACUAAUUGAUGCUUCAUUAGGAUAUAACUACUGAUUGGAUGCAUAAGAGAACCGCCGUACUCGGUACUACAUACUUUCUCCAGUUUGAAUAACUUAUCUUAACAAUACAAUAGCUGAAUGAUUUGCUUGUAUGUUUCUCUUUCAGGUUAGAGAGAAAGAUUUUGAUGUGAAUUUUUGGAUAAAAUCCCUGAUUUCUCUUACUUGGAUUAUGCUGAAUCGGAUUUUUUAACAAGAUUGAUCGUUGCGGAUGAGAUUGACUACUUAAUAACACAAGAACGGACUGUGCUACAUGACCUUUUCAUGCUUACCAACCACCUGUUCUCCAAAUGCAUGUUAAUAGGAAUUGCAAAUGCCAUAGACCCAGCUGAUCGCUUUCUACCAAAGCUUGAAUCCUUGAAUUGUAAGGGUUCUUAUUAUAUUUGCUAUAGUGAAAAUUGAAGGCAUCUCUAGAACAGGCAAAUGAGUCUGCCUUUUGUUCCCGACACUCCUUCAUAUCUUGUGUUCUGCAUUCUUGCGUCUCACUAUGGGAGCAAUAUUUAGUCAA
Molecule: long non-coding RNA, 780 nt
Organism: Triticum dicoccoides
Lineage: Eukaryota; Viridiplantae; Streptophyta; Magnoliopsida; Poales; Poaceae
Exons: 3
Source: RefSeq, a predicted model, not a curated record